GAUCAAAUCAAGCGCGAGAAGGGCGUUUGGUGAAUGCCUUGGCAGCAAGAGGCGAUGAAGGACGUGAUACUCUGCGAUAAGCCAUGGGGAGCUGAGAAUAAGCUUUGAUCCAUGGAUUUCCGAAUGGGGCAACCCACCUGACAGUUCGAUAUAAUUGCCUUCGGGCAGCUUAUAUCUUGCUGAAACAGGUACUUAAGACCUGAAUACAUAGGGUUUUAAGAGCAAACCCGGGGAACUGAAACAUCUAAGUACCCGGAGGAAAGGACAUCAAUUGAUACUCCCCUAGUAGCGGCGAGCGAACGGGGACCAGCCGAGCCUUGAGAGUGACCAGAACAGUCUGGAAAGACUGGCCAUAGCGGGUGACAGCCCCGUAUGGGAAGCUCGAUAGGACGUAUUAAGUAGGGCGGGACACGUGAAAUCCUGUCUGAAGAUCGGAGGACCACCUUCGAAGGCUAAGUACUCCUUGCUGACCGAUAGCGAACCAGUACCGUGAGGGAAAGGUGAAAAGCACCCCGACGAGGGGAGUGAAACAGUACCUGAAACCGAACGCCUACAAUCAGUCGGAGCCCCCUUGCGGGGUGACGGCGUACCUUUUGUAUAAUGGGUCAUCGACUUGGUCUCACGUGCAAGCUUAAGCCGAUAGGUGUAGGCGCAGCGAAAGCGAGUCUUAAUAGGGCGUCGAGUUCGUGGGAUCAGACCCGAAACCGAGUGAUCUAGGCAUGGCCAGGCUGAAGGUAAGGUAACACUUACUGGAGGGCCGAACCCACAUCUGUUGAAAAAGAUCGGGAUGAGCUGUGCCUAGGGGUGAAAGGCCAAUCAAACUCGGAGAUAGCUGGUUCUCUGCGAAAUCUAUUUAGGUAGAGCGUCAUCCGAAUACCCUCGGGGGUAGAGCACUGGAUGGGUAAUGGGGCCCCACAGGCUUACUGAUCCUAACCAAACUCCGAAUACCGAGGAGUACUAGAUGGCAGACACACUGCGGAUGCUAACGUCCGUAGUGGAGAGGGAAACAACCCUGACCUCCAGCUAAGGCCCCCAAUUCGUGGCUAAGUGGGAAAGCAGGUGGGAUGUCCAAAACAACCAGGAGGUUGGCUUAGAAGCAGCCAUCCUUUAAAGAUAGCGUAACAGCUCACUGGUCUAAUCAAGACGUCCUGCGGCGAAGAUGUAACGGGGCUCAAGCCACGAGCCGAAGCUGAGGAUGCCGUAAGGCAUGGUAGCAGAGCGUAGUGUGACAUAACUCCAUGUCUCCUUACCGGGACGGUCUUUUCGAAGGCCUGGCCGGAUUGGAGACGCGGAGUUUUCUGUGAAGCCGGGGCGUGAGCCAUCCGGUGGAGAGAUCACUAGCGAGAAUGAUGACAUGAGUAGCGACAAAGAGUGUGAGAGACACUCUCGCCGAAAGUCCAAGGGUUCCUGCUUAAAGCUAAUCUGAGCAGGGUAAGCCGGCCCCUAAGCCGAGGCCGAAAGGCGUAGGCGAUGGGAACCAGGUUAAUAUUCCUGGGCCAGGAGGAUGUGACGGAUCGUGAAGGUUGUUCACCCUUAUCGGAUUGGGUGGGCCGCUGAUCGGUUCCUGGAAAUAGCCCUCCACCAGACCGUACCCUAAACCGACACAGGUGGACUGGUAGAGAAUACCAAGGCGCUUGAGAGAACGAUGUUGAAGGAACUCGGCAAAAUACCUCCGUAAGUUCGCGAGAAGGAGGCCCAGUUUCUAGGCAACUAGUGGCUGGGGGCACAAACCAGGGGGUGGCGACUGUUUACUAAAAACACAGGGCUCUGCGAAGUCGCAAGACGACGUAUAGGGUCUGACGCCUGCCCGGUGCCUGAAGGUUAAAAGGAGGAGUGAGAGCUCCGAAUUGAAGCCCAGGUAAACGGCGGCCGUAACUAUAACGGUCCUAAGGUAGCGAAAUUCCUUGUCGGGUAAGUUCCGACCUGCACGAAUGGCGUAACGACUUCCCCGCUGUCUCCAACAUCGACUCAGCGAAAUUGAAUUGCCUGUCAAGAUGCAGGCUUCCCGCGGUUAGACGGAAAGACCCCGUGCACCUUUACUACAGCUUCACAUUGGCAUUAGGCCGAGCAUGUGCAGGAUAGGUGGUGGGCUUCGAAGCAGGGACGCCAGUCUCUGUGGAGCCUCCCUUGAGAUACCACCCUUGCUCUGCUUGAUGUCUAACCGCGGUCCGUUAUCCGGAUCCGGGACCCUGUGUGGCGGGUAGUUUGACUGGGGCGGUCGCCUCCUAAAGCGUAACGGAGGCGCGCGAAGGUUGGCUCAGAGCGGUCGGAAAUCGCUCGUUGAGUGCAAUGGCAGAAGCCAGCCUGACUGCGAGACUGACAAGUCGAGCAGAGUCGAAAGACGGCCAUAGUGAUCCGGUGGUCCCGAGUGGAAGGGCCAUCGCUCAACGGAUAAAAGGUACGCCGGGGAUAACAGGCUGAUACUGCCCAAGAGUCCAUAUCGACGGCAGUGUUUGGCACCUCGAUGUCGGCUCAUCUCAUCCUGGGGCUGGAGCAGGUCCCAAGGGUACGGCUGUUCGCCGUUUAAAGAGGUACGUGAGCUGGGUUUAGAACGUCGUGAGACAGUUCGGUCCCUAUCUGCCGUGGGUGUAGGAUACUUGAGAGGAGUUGCCCCUAGUACGAGAGGACCGGGGUGAACGAUCCACUGGUGGACCUGUUGUCGUGCCAACGGCAGUGCAGGGUAGCUAUGAUCGGACAGGAUAACCGCUGAAGGCAUCUAAGCGGGAAGCCCCCCUCAAAACAAGGUAUCCCUGAGGGCCGUGGGAGACCACCACGUCGAUAGGCCGGAGAUGUAAGCGCAGCAAUGCGUUCAGUUGACCGGUACUAAUUGCCCGAUAGGCUUGAUUUGAUCCAG
This 2854-nucleotide ribosomal RNA is filed under the name Pukyongiella litopenaei. RNAcentral describes it as "23S ribosomal RNA". It matches the Rfam family "Bacterial large subunit ribosomal RNA". The record is from RNAcentral. Lineage: Bacteria; Pseudomonadati; Pseudomonadota; Alphaproteobacteria; Rhodobacterales; Paracoccaceae.